This 958-nucleotide long non-coding RNA is filed under the name Capra hircus (goat). RNAcentral's name for it is "lncRNA (ENSCHIG00010017916.1)". The record is from RNAcentral. Lineage: Eukaryota; Metazoa; Chordata; Mammalia; Artiodactyla; Bovidae.
ACACUGAAAACUAUGAAGUCAGUCUCGCGGGCUCCUCACAAGCAUUUCCACUGUUGUGUUGAUGACAAUACACUUGUUCAGUCCUCAAGUCAUGUCAGACUCUGUGCGACCCCAUGGACUGCAGACCGCCAGGCUCCUCUGUCCAUGGGAUUCUCAAGAACCAGGCUGCUCCUGCGACGGGGAGGAAGAGGAGGGUACCCCACUUGUCCUGAGCCGGACAGCAGAUUUGUAGGCUCUGAAGUGGAAUGAUGUAUCACAAUCACACUAGGAGUUCAAAAGCCUUAGAAAUUGCUUUAAGACAUCACACAAGCCACCUCUCUGGAAUUAAACCUAUUCCUCGACACUUUGCUGCUUUAAGAAGUUUUAAGUGAUGACAACGGUCGGCUUUUCCACACUUUUUUCUGCGGAUGACACUCUACCAGCUACGCUGCGAAUGCAGAUUCGACGCUCUGCCUGCGAAGAUUCUGAGAUCUGGUGAACUUUCUGGAAACCCAGAACUCUUCAAGGAUGGGGGGCAGAGCCCAAACCACAGGGAGCGGUUCUGCUCAUGGCUUGCCCAUCCAGCACCCUCCUCUUGAGACAGGGCGUGGCUCUGAGCAGGGACCACCCCUGCAGACUGGCCCUUGGGCAGCGCGCUCCACGCCACCCUCCGUCACAUGGCAGUGACUGUGUUCCCUGGCCCCCACAGGCUGUCCCCCACCAAACGCGAGCUCUCCAGGGACAGAGUCCUCGCGAGAAAGUGCUGGCCCUGAAUCCCAGCCACGGGCCGAUUGUUGGCGUUCCGUGGUCGUCAACCGCAACGUCAAGUCAAAGGAAACAGCGGCGUGCUGACGGAGCCCUCCGGCGGGGGUCUCAGUGCCCAGCCGAGUGCACGCCCAGCCUCCACAGACCGGCUUCAGCACGGCCCACCAGCCUCAACGUUUUUAUUCACAUCUCUGUUGGAGUGAAUUCUGCAUGA